This 826-nucleotide long non-coding RNA is filed under the name Homo sapiens (human). RNAcentral describes it as "LHRI_LNC783.1". Lineage: Eukaryota; Metazoa; Chordata; Mammalia; Primates; Hominidae. The record is from RNAcentral.
AGGUACUUUAGUAUUUUCAGGAUGCAAAUAAAAUAAUGCAUAUGGGAUUAAUUUUUAGCAGUCAUUUAAGGAUUGCCUAACAGGUAAAAUAUCAUUAUUUGAUAUUUGAAUAUUGUGUGAUUAUAUGCCUUGAGGCAUAGUCUAUUAUAUACUACAAAAAAAACUUGAAUAAGCAAGAGCAUUAUCAUAUCUAAAAUGUUUUUCACAUUUCUGAGAAAAAUAUGUUUUACAUAUUUACGUGUCAUCUCACUUAUUAAGGAAAAUGAUCUUCUGAAGAUCACAGUGAAAAGCUAUCUGAUGUAUAUAAAUUAAUUAGGGGGCUAUUGUUCCUGCAGUUAAGACUAACUUCGGUUUCUGACGGCGAUGUACGUUAUGCAGAAAUAAAGGUAUAUAGAAUGCAUGUAUACCACCUGAAUUCAUGCUCUGCUAGAAUUCAUUGAUUCAAGAAUCUGUGUGAUUCAAGAAUCUCUAAAGUCCCUCCAGCUCAGUCAGGAAUUUUGCCUGCUAAAUUCCUCCACAAGCAUUGCCUUCAGCUCAUGGGAACUACCUCCUCUGAGCUCGUUCCUUCUCUUAUAGCAGCCUGUGUCCAAUGGCUAGUCAAUGCUGAGGUACAAAGUCCCAGCUCCUUGCCUCAAAAGUGGGUAGACAUCUCUGAAAGUCCAUUCCAGCUUCAGAUUUGCUGAUGUCUCUGUUUCAAUUCUAUCACAGGCUAACCUCACUCUCUACUAUGUCCUGCUUUUCUUACGCUUCACAGGUAUAGAUCUCCAGCCCACUACUUGCACACAAAAUCAUCUUAGACUCUGCUUCUUGGGAAUCCAAAUAAGAC